CCUACGGGAGGCAGCAGUGAGGAAUAUUGGUCAAUGGGCUUACGCCUGAACCAGCCAAGUCGCGUGAGGGAAGACUGCCCUAUGGGUUGUAAACCUCUUUUGUCAGGGAGCAACGCCGGCUACGUGUAGCCGGACUGAGAGUACCUGAAGAAAAAGCAUCGGCUAACUCCGUGCCAGCAGCCGCGGUACUACGGAGGAUGCGAGCGUUAUCCGGAUUUAUGGGGUUAAAAGGGUGCGUAGGCGGAAUGCCAAGUCAGCGGUAAAAUCGCGGGGCUCAACCUCGCUCCGCCGUUGAAACUGGCGUUCUUGAGUGGGCGAGAAGUAUGCGGAAUGCGUGGUGUAGCGGUGAAAUGCAUAGAUAUCACGCAGAACUCCGAUUGCGAAGGCAGCAUACCGGCGCCCAACUGACGCUGAAGCACGAAAGCGUGGGUAUCGAACAGGAUUAGAUACCCUUGUAGUC
This 460-nucleotide ribosomal RNA is filed under the name uncultured bacterium. RNAcentral's name for it is "partial 16S ribosomal RNA". It matches the Rfam family "Bacterial small subunit ribosomal RNA", at positions 338 to 795 of the family's 1533-position model. The record is from RNAcentral.